GACAGGUGGUGCGAUGGUUGUCGUCAGCUCGUGUCGUGAGAUGUUGGGUUAAGUCCCGCAACGAGCGCAACCCCUACUUGUUAGUUGCCAUCAUUCAGUUGGGCGCGUCUAGCGAGACUGCAGGGUAAUAAACCGGGAGGAAGGUGGGGAUGACGUCAAAUCAUCAUGCCCCUUAUGACCUGGGCUACACACGUGCUACAAUGGUUGGUACAACGAGUUGCGAGUCGGUGACGGCGAGCUAAUCUCUUAAAGCCAAUCUCAGUUCGGAUUGUAGGCUGCAACUCGCCUACAUAAAGUCGGAAUCGCUAGUAAUCGCGGAUCAGCACGCCGCGGUCGAAUACGUUCCCGGGCCUU
Molecule: ribosomal RNA, 354 nt
Filed under: uncultured Streptococcus sp.
Lineage: Bacteria; Bacillati; Bacillota; Bacilli; Lactobacillales; Streptococcaceae
Description: bacterial SSU rRNA
Rfam family: Bacterial small subunit ribosomal RNA
Source: RNAcentral